AGCGAACAUUGGCGGUAGGCUUAACACAUGCAAGUCGAGCGAGGCGCAAUAGUCGAGCGGCGAACGGGUGAGUAAUACAUGGGAAUCUACCUCGAAGUGGGGGAUAACAGCCAGAAAUGGCUGCUAAUACCGCAUGAUCCGGGAACGGGAAAGCGCGCUGCGCUUUGAGAUGAGCCCAUGGCUGAUUAGCUAGUUGGUGGGGUAAAGGCCUACCAAGGCGACGAUCAGUAGCUGGUCUGAGAGGAUGAUCAGCCACACUGGAACUGAGACACGGUCCAGACUCCUACGGGAGGCAGCAGUGGGGAAUCUUGCGCAAUGGGGGCAACCCUGACGCAGCCAUACCGCGUGUGCGAUGAAGGUCUUCGGAUUGUAAAGCACUUUCAGUAGGGACGACGAUGACGGUACCUACAGAAGAAGUCACGGCUAACUUCGUGCCAGCAGCCGCCGUAA
RNAcentral lists this ribosomal RNA (450 nucleotides) under uncultured bacterium. RNAcentral's name for it is "partial 16S ribosomal RNA". It matches the Rfam family "Bacterial small subunit ribosomal RNA", at positions 29 to 523 of the family's 1533-position model. The record is from RNAcentral.